CCUUCGAUAGCUCAGUUGGUAGAGCGGUGGACUGUAGAAUUAAGUACUUGCGUAGACAUCCAUAGGUCGCUGGUUCAAAUCCGGCUCGAAGGA
RNAcentral lists this transfer RNA (93 nucleotides) under Musca domestica (house fly). It matches the Rfam family "tRNA". Rfam says of the family: Transfer RNA (tRNA) molecules are approximately 80 nucleotides in length. Their secondary structure includes four short double-helical elements and three loops (D, anti-codon, and T loops). Lineage: Eukaryota; Metazoa; Arthropoda; Insecta; Diptera; Muscidae. The record is from Rfam by way of RNAcentral.